This 465-nucleotide ribosomal RNA is filed under the name uncultured bacterium. Its description in RNAcentral is "partial 16S ribosomal RNA". It matches the Rfam family "Bacterial small subunit ribosomal RNA", at positions 338 to 795 of the family's 1533-position model. The record is from RNAcentral.
CCUACGGGCGGCAGCAGUGGGGAAUAUUGCGCAAUGGGCGAAAGCCUGACGCAGUGACGCCGCGUGAGGGAUGAAGGUCUUCGGAUCGUAAACCUCUGUCAGCAGGGAAGAACGGUCACUGUGCUAAUCAGCAGUGAAUUGACGGUACCUGCAAAGGAAGCACCGGCUAACUCCGUGCCAGCAGCCGCGGUAAUACGGAGGGUGCGAGCGUUAAUCGGAAUUACUGGGCGUAAAGCGCUCGUAGGCGGUAUGUCAAGUCAAGGGUGAAAUCCCCGGGCUCAACGUGGGAACUGCCUUUGAAACUGGCAAACUGGAGUGUGUGAGAGGAUAGUGGAAUGCCAGGUGUAGGAGUGAAAUGCGUAGAUAUCUGGAGGAACAUCAGUGGCGAAGGCGACUAUCUGGCACAUAACUGACGCUGAGGAGCGAAAGCGUGGGUAGCAAACAGGAUUAGAUACCCCUGUAGUC